GUGUUCACGGGAGCAUAUACACCAAAACUGGAAUGACACAGAGAAGAUUACCAUGGCCCCUGUGCAAGGAUGACAUGCAAAUCUGUGAAGCAUUCCACAUUUUU
Molecule: small nuclear RNA, 104 nt
Organism: Symphalangus syndactylus (siamang)
Lineage: Eukaryota; Metazoa; Chordata; Mammalia; Primates; Hylobatidae
Source: RefSeq, a predicted model, not a curated record